UGGGGAAUUUUGGACAAUGGGCGCAAGCCUGAUCCAGCAAUGCCGCGUGAGUGAAGAAGGCCUUCGGGUUGUAAAGCUCUUUUGUCAGGGAAGAAACGGUGGGGGCUAAUAUCCUCCACUAAUGACGGUACCUGAAGAAUAAGCACCGGCUAACUACGUGCCAGCAGCCGCGGUAAUACGUAGGGUGCAAGCGUUAAUCGGAAUUACUGGGCGUAAAGCGUGCGCAGGCGGUUUUGUAAGUCUGUCGUGAAAGCCCCGGGCUCAACCUGGGAAUUGCGAUGGAGACUGCAAGGCUUGAAUCUGGCAGAGGGGGGUAGAAUUCCACGUGUAGCAGUGAAAUGCGUAGAGAUGUGGAGGAACACCGAUGGCGAAGGCAGCCCCCUGGGUCAAGAUUGACGCUCAUGCACGAAAGCGUGGGGAGCAAACA
Molecule: ribosomal RNA, 427 nt
Filed under: uncultured bacterium
Lineage: Bacteria
Also listed under: 1 other name
Description: bacterial SSU rRNA
Rfam family: Bacterial small subunit ribosomal RNA
Source: RNAcentral